GACGGGGGAUGCAAGCGUUAUCCGGAAUGAUUGGGCGUAAAGGGUCCGCAGGUGGCCCGGUCAGUCCGCUGUCAAAGCCUGGGGGCUCAACCCUGGAGAGGCGGCGGAGACCACCGGGCUUGAGUCCGGUAGGGGAGCGUGGAAUUCCUGGUGUAGCGGUGAAAUGCGCAGAUAUCAGGAGGAACACCAGCGGCGAAGGCGGCGCUCUGGGCCGGAACUGACGCUGAGGAGCGAAAGCGUGGGUAGCAAACAGG
Molecule: ribosomal RNA, 254 nt
Filed under: uncultured bacterium
Lineage: Bacteria
Description: partial 16S ribosomal RNA
Rfam family: Bacterial small subunit ribosomal RNA
Source: RNAcentral